CCUACGGGGGGCAGCAGUGGGGGAUAUUGCACAAUGGGGGAAACCCUGAUGCAGCGACGCCGCGUGUGGGAAGACGGUCCUCUGGGUUGUAAACCACUGUCCCCAGGGACGAAGAUGACGGUACCUGGGGAGGAAGCUCCGGCUAACCACGUGCCAGCAGCCGCGGUAAUACGUAGGGAGCGAGCGUUUUCGGGAAUUACGGGGUGAAAGGGGAGCGUAGGGGGGACUGAAAGUUGGGGGUAAAAUCUACCGGCUCAACCGGUAGCCGCACUCAAAACUGCAGUUCUUGAGUGAAGUAGAGGCAGGCGGAAUUCCUAGUGUAGCGGUGAAAUGCGUAGAUAUUAGGAGGAACACCAGUGGCGAAGGCGGCCUGCUGGGCUUUUACUGACGCUGAGGCUCGAAAGUGUGGGGAGCAAACAGGAUUAGAUACCCCUGUAGUC
Molecule: ribosomal RNA, 440 nt
Filed under: uncultured bacterium
Lineage: Bacteria
Description: partial 16S ribosomal RNA
Rfam family: Bacterial small subunit ribosomal RNA
Source: RNAcentral